GAAACGACUGCUAAGACUGGAUAGGAGACAAGAAGACAUCUUCUUGUUUUUAAAAGACCUAGCAAUAGGUAUGCUUAGGGAGGAGCUUGCGUCACAUUAGUUAGUUGGUGGGGUAAAGGCCUACCAAGACUAUGAUGUGUAGCCGGGCUGAGAGGUUGAACGGCCACAUUGGGACUGAGACACGGCCCAAACUCCUACGGGAGGCAGCAGUAGGGAAUUUUCGGCAAUGGAGGAAACUCUGACCGAGCAACGCCGCGUGAACGAUGAAGUAUUUCGGUACGUAAAGUUCUUUUAUUAGGGAAGAAUAAAUGAUGGAAAAAUCAUUCUGACGGUACCUAAUGAAUAAGCCCCGGCUAACUAUGUGCCAGCAGCCGCGGUAAUACAUAGGGGGCAAGCGUUAUCCGGAAUUAUUGGGCGUAAAGGGUGCGUAGGCGGUUAAAUAAGUUUAUGGUCUAAGUGCAAUGCUCAACAUUGUGAUGCUAUAAAAACUGUUUAGCUAGAGUAAGAUAGAGGCAAGUGGAAUUCCAUGUGUAGUGGUAAAAUGCGUAAAUAUAUGGAGGAACACCAGUAGCGAAGGCGGCUUGCUGGGUCUUUACUGACGCUGAGGCACGAAAGCGUGGGGAGCAAACAGGAUUAGAUACCCUGGUAGUCCACGCCGUAAACGAUGAGUACUAAACGUUGGGUAAAACCAGUGUUGAAGUUAACACAUUAAGUACUCCGCCUGAGUAGUACGUACGCAAGUAUGAAACUUAAAGGAAUUGACGGGACUCCGCACAAGCGGUGGAUCAUGUUGUUUAAUUCGAAGGUACCCGAAAAACCUCACCAGGUCUUGACAUGCUUCUGCAAAGCUGUAGAGACACAGCGGAGGUUAUCAGUUGCACAGGUGGUGCAUGGUUGUCGUCAGCUCGUGUCGUGAGAUGUUGGGUUAAGUCCCGCAACGAGCGCAACCCUUAUUGUUAGUUACCAGCACGUAAUGGUGGGGACUUUAGCAAGACUGCCAGUGAUAAAUUGGAGGAAGGUGGGGAUGACGUCAAAUCAUCAUGCCCCUUAUGACCUGGGCUACAAACGUGAUACAAUGGCUGUUACAAAGGGUAGCUGAAGCGCAAGUUUUUGGCGAAUCUCAAAAAAACAGUCUCAGUUCGGAUUGAAGUCUGCAACUCGACUUCAUGAAGUUGGAAUCGCUAGUAAUCGCGAAUCAGCAUGUCGCGGUGAAUACGUUCUCGGGGUUUGUACACACCGCCCGUCA
RNAcentral lists this ribosomal RNA (1246 nucleotides) under Sandal spike phytoplasma. RNAcentral's name for it is "bacterial SSU rRNA". It matches the Rfam family "Bacterial small subunit ribosomal RNA", at positions 153 to 1399 of the family's 1533-position model. Lineage: Bacteria; Bacillati; Mycoplasmatota; Mollicutes; Acholeplasmatales; Acholeplasmataceae. The record is from RNAcentral.